This is a long non-coding RNA of Scophthalmus maximus (turbot), 5743 nucleotides long. RefSeq lists it as uncharacterized. The record is from RefSeq and is a predicted model, not a curated record. NCBI's taxonomy places the organism in Eukaryota, Metazoa, Chordata, Actinopteri, Pleuronectiformes, Scophthalmidae. The transcript is spliced from 3 exons.
AUGACACAAAGCCCAGACUAAUGCCAAAGUCUCCUUUUCGAUCACAGAGUAGUUAAGCUGAUGUUUAUUAAAUUUCUUAGAAAAGAAACUUAUAGGCCUAUCCACUCCCUGAUUGUCAGACUGCAUCAACACCGCACCUGCCCCCACGUGACUGGCAUCCACCUGCAGCUUGAACGGCUACUCCACACAGCGGCCAGCCAGCACUGGAGCACUGCAUAAAAGGGCCUUGACAUUCUUUAAAGCCUGCUGACAAACAGGGGACCACACAUAUUUAACAUCUUUUCCUAACAAAUCAGUUAGGGGAUCGACCACAGAGGAAAAGUUCCUACAGAACCUGCGAUAGUAUCCUACCAUUCCCAAGAACCGCAUUAGCUCUUUUUUGGUUGUUGGUGUAGGAAACUGCUCCACAGCCCACACCUUUGCGUGCACUGGCUGCACUAACCCCUGGCCUACAACAUGUCCAAGGUACGUUACUGUUGCAUGAGCAAACUCACAUUUUGCCAAAUUAAUUGUCAGUCGUGCAGCAGCCAAACGUUCAAACAAUGAACGAAUACGCAAGACAUGGCCGUCCCAACUGUAACUGUAGACAACCACAUAUAUACAUAUACCACCAUAUUCAUCAGACGUUCAAAUGUGGCUGGUGCGUUCCGCAGGCCAAAGGGCAUCACCUUAUAAGAAUACAGGCCAGAGGGAGUUAUAAACGCAGACAUCUCCUGCGCCCUUUUUGACAGUGGUACCUGCCAAUAACCUUUAAGCAGAUCAAAUUUACUCACGAACUUCGCAGAGCCAACCUGAUCGAUGCAAUCAUCCAUCCACGGAAGUGGAAAGGCAUCAGGCUUGGUGACACUGUUGACCUUACGAAAAUCAGAGCAAAAUCUGGGUGUCUUAUCAGACUUAGGGACAAGCAGAUGGGGAGGCCCAGCUGGGAAUGUGUAUCACCAAACAAACCUGGAAAACUGCCAAUUAGCUCAGCCAACUGAACACGCUUUGUCUACUGCAAAUGACUUAACAAACUACCCAAGUUGUUAAGAGUUUCUGGGUUUUUUAGCCGACCACAUUACAAUGCUUGUUCAAAACUGGGAGACCCUUCCAUCUCUGUCAUUGCCACUGACUGAGACGGGGAACUCACUACAGGGUUUGCAAGUGCGGCAGGCUGGACACACGCCGCACUAGGUGCCUUUGCCACACUCUGUUCAACUGCUUGAGUGUAGUAUGGUUUCAACAAAUUGACAUGAAAAAAGCUAUGACUUCUUCCUCCGCUCUGGAGUAGAAAUCAAGUAUUUCUGCUCUGAGAUCUGCUUUACCACUGUGUGCGGACCUGUAAACCUAGCGUGAAAGGGCGACCCCACAAUUUGUAAAAGAACCAGUACUUGAUCGCCAGUACUGAAUUGGCGCCGCUCAGCCUGUCGAUCACAAACACUCUUCAUUCUCUUUUGUGCUGUAACCAAUUUCUCCCUUGCUAACUCACCUGCAACAUAAUUUAUGUCUGAACCCAUUUACAUAGUCAAUCAGGUUUUUUGGAGGAUCACUGAUCUUAAAAUUGUCCCUCAACAUCGCUAGAGGACCACGUACAGAAUGUGCAAACACCAAGUCAUUGGGACUAAACCCAGUGCUCUCCUGGAUUACCUCCCUUGCUGCCAACAUUAACCAUGGCAAUCCUUCCUCCCAAUCCCUGCCCAAAUCUGUGCAAAAGGCACGCAGCAGCAACUUAAGUGUCUGAUGAAAACUCUCAAGUGCCCCCCGACUCUGUGCAUGAUAGGCUGAUGACUGUGAGUGCUUCACCUGAAGUUAUUUUAAUACCUGCGCAAAAAUGGGAGGAAAAGUUAGAACCUUGAUCACUUUGGACAACCCUGGGAAUUCCAAAAAUUGAAAUAAACUGUGAAAGUGCUUUUACCACAGACUGGGUUGUUAUUGACCGCAGAGGAUAUGCAGCUGGAUAUCUAGUGGCCUGACAGAUGACUGUCAAAAGAUACUUUGUUCCUGUCCUUGAAGGGGGGAGAGGUCCAACACAGUCAAUGAUUAUCUGCUCCAACGGUUCACCAAUGGCAGGGAUUGGGUGCAAUGGGACAGGCUUAAUAACCUGGUUUGGCUUGCCAGUUGUUUGACAUGUGUGGCAAGUUCUGAUGUAUUCUGAUACAUCCUUUUUUAGCCAAGGCCAAAAGAAGUACCGCAAAAUACGAUCAAAUGUCUUCCUGACCCCCAUAUGCCCUGAUUGGUCAUGAGAAAGCUGCAAAACCAAGAUACGAAAUCUGGCUGGUACUACAAUUUGGAAAAUUGGGCUUCCCAUACCAACGUCGCUACAAGGCACCCACUUUCUUACCAACCCACCAUUGUCAAGGAAAUAGCCAUAUGCCUUGUCCUUCACCUCUGCAAGAGGGAUUACAAUCUCCAACAACUUUUUAAUGGAGGGGUCUGACUGCUGCUCUGCUACCAAAUCUGCAACUGAAACAGACAAGGGAAAGUCAGACAAGUUCACACAUGAUUCUUCCAUGACACUCACUCUAUCAGGCUCACCACGAGCCCCGGCAGGAGUCACGACAAUGCUGCAAACACCUCUUGGAAGUCACACUCACUCUCAUCCGGUCCACCAUUAACUAUAGAGACUGGACUAACAACUGGAAAUGGAGGAACAUCUAUCCACACACGCCCCCCGGCUAGCCCAUUCCCAGGAAUGAGAUGUACACCUUCAACUGGCAACCCUGAGCACACUGCGAUGCAAACCUCCCCCUACACCAAAUCUGAGAAGAGAAGAAGCCUGUGCACCAGAGCAGACAAAACAGACAAUCCCAUUCCAAGAGCUAGUGCUGAAUCACCAGUAUCAGACUCCUCUGAAAAAGGGAAAACUGACGCCAGAAUAAAUUACCCAAAUGCGCCUGUGUCCCUCAGUAUGGUAACAGGCACCUUCUCACUGUGUCCUGUUAAGGAAACAUGACCAUUUGUUAUGAAAGGCAAAUAAGCAUCAUCAAUACGGACUUUGUCAUCCCCUUGAGGACAAGGUAAGUCCGAAAUUACACUCAUGGCUGAGUUUACAUUUGUUUGUUUAGUCUUUCUCUUUAAAGCAUAGCAAUCAGCUUUCACAUGCCCCUUUUUACAACAAAAAUGACACACUUUUUCAAUGUCACGCAAAUCUGUCACCUUUACUUCAGGCCUGACUGAACCAGCAGAUGAAAAUCCACGCCCAACAACACUAUCCUUAAAGCCACCUACACCACUACGUGCAUUUCCCAAACCACUGCGGUGUGUCAAGACAUCUGCUAAUGCAGCUGCCUCACCAACAGUUGUCACCUGUUGCUCCGUUAUAUAUGUGGCAAUACGGCUGGGAACUGCAUUUUUGAAUUCCUCCAAAACAAUAAGAUAACACAAAUCCUCAUAUGUUUCCACCUCAGAAGCUAUGCACCAACGAUUAAAAGUAUUUACCAAGUCACGUGAAAACUCGAGGUUGGACUGUUUAUCCUCUGUCUUCCCAUUUCUAAACCACUGGCGAUAAGCCUCAGGAACCAUCUCAUAUACCUUAAGAAAAGCAGCUUUCACUGAUUCAUAAUGCCGUCUUACCUGGCAACACCUCCGUCUCAUACAAGUUAGCCUUUGAAAUAGACUUAACUGUGUCCUUGAGCCUUUUGUCACUGAUUUCCAUUUUGUAGUGGUCUGCAAUUUUCUGCAACUGCUCUUUUGUGCAGCCAUCUAAAAACAAGUCUGAUGGAGUGUCAAAAAAAACUUCAACGCAAGCCAUUUUAGAACCCCAGACCAAUGAAAAGCAGUAGUUAACACGCUGGCUGUAAAAAAAAUAUAACAAAUAGGAGCGUAACCUCUAUCUGCCUAAGAAAAUGCUAAACUAACUCACCCCUAGUCUUCAUGUGGUUAAUUGCGGCGGGUACUUAUGCACUUAAGACCGCUGGUAUGGAAAAGUGACCAGUAUCUGGCAACCCCCCACAGCCAUGGACAUGCUUCCGAGACAAAGCUCUAACUGCAUUCACCCCAAAACUACAAAAACAACAAACCAGCGAAACUCAAAGGAGCAACGCUGCUAUGCCUAACAGGGGACAAUAACUUUAACUAAAACAAUUACACACCAGCAUGUCAACACUUACCUUCCGUUGGUCAAACAAGUCUUCCAACCCACAACACCACACAGUGUUUAACCAUGAUAUCAUCUCCAUCUUGCAGCUCUUCUUCUGAUGAGUCAGGGAAUGAGGGGACUAGUCAUAGACGGAAGAGGGCUAGAGACACAGCUGACGAGGACGUAAAGGAUUUUAGUGCGUUCCUUUAGUGCUUCCCGGUGGGAGUGACUGGCCAGCCGCCCACUAAGAAGCAAAGGACAGAUGCUGGGUUUCUGGCAGGCCGAGAUUUUUAUGAGCAGUGGAGGGUGGCACAGUACAACCAGCGGCCGGAGUACCUAUUGUGUUAAUGUAAAUGAUUGAUUAGCAAGAAUUUUCAUUUAAUUUUCUUACCUUGACAGCCCAGUAUUCAAGACACCCUCCAACUGUACACAAGGUUGCAAAGAUCAUCGGGAAAGAGUGAUGAAAAGGCAACCAUCCCUGUCCUGAGGACAUUGUAGCCAAGUGGGAACCAGCCAAGAGGGUUCAGAUGCAGAGUGAUCCAGGCAUCAUCAGUAGUGUCACAAAGCAGAGCUGGUCAGGCCAGACCAUCAAGGAUUUUGGCGGCGGCAAAGGGCAAGGAGUUGUUUCCACCAAAGCCUUUCCCAAAGGCUCCAUCCUCUGCGAUUACCAUGGAAAGGUAAUCACAGCAGUGGAAGGCAGGAAACUGAUGGAGUCCAUGCAGGAUGAGAUUUGUGCUACAUCUUUUUCAUCAAGGCUGGUGGCCGGGACCUCUGCAUUGAUGCGCAGACAUUUCCUUGCGAGUGCCAUCCUUCUGUGGAGACAAUGGGUAGGAAGAUCAACCGUUCAAGUUAGAACUGGAAUGUGAAGCCUCUUCAUUGCCAAAUCAACUUCCCAGAAGGAGCCGGGGAUGUCAUCCUCUUUCAGGCAAUGAAAGACAUUUCCAUCAGUAAAGAGCUCUGCUUUGACUACGGAGUCAACAGGAAGUCUUUCAGGGGAGGAGGACUCAACCUCGAAUGGCUGGAUAACUGAACAUCACAGCAGCUUUGACCAAGGAACACGCAAAGCCCUCAUCAACCCUCACACACCCGUCUUCGUCCACUGUGGCAGCAGCACGGCCCUCACCCACCCUCACCCACUCGUCCUCUUCCACUGAGGCAGCUUCAGGGCCUCGGAUUCAGAUUCCACCCAAACGGCGUCUCGAAAGCUUGGAGCACUGCUACCUGCGCUAUGUGGGCCUGGCUGUGUUUCUGCAUGUGUUUGAGUUGGGUGGGGUUUUAUUGCUCAUUUUUUUAUUGAUGUUGCACUGUAUUUCCUUUACAUUUCAUUUCACUUUUUAGAAUAGAGUGGUUAUGCUGUCUGUUACGGCAUUAGUGUAAUAUUAGUGCUGAGUUACACAUUAGAGCAUCAGAUCGAACAGAUGGUGCCCAGGAUGAAUGUUUAUUUACUUAUUUUUGAUCUUGUUUAUUCAUGUGACACCUUAUUUAUGAUGAUUAUUGUUAAUAUUGUUUGUUUCUAACAUUAAUAUUGUUAUUUAUACUAUUGUUAUUCAUAUUGUGGUUAGUGUUGUUAUUAUUACUAUCACUUUUAUUACUAUUAUAUGUGUAGUAGUAAUAGUAACAGUAGUAGUAUCAUCAUUAUUUUUUUAAACAUAAUUGCGUUGAAAUAAAACGAGUUUGGACAUUUCA